UUUUUGAUUAAUAAUUUAAAGUCUAAUCUGCCCACUGAUAAUAUAUUAAAGGGCUGCAGUAUUUUGACUGUACAAAGGUAGCAUAAUCAUUAGUCUCUUAAUUGGUGACUUGUAUGAAAGAUUUAAUGAGAUAUAUACUGUCUCUUUUUAAUUUAUAAAAUUUAAUUUUUUAGUUAAAAAGCUAAAAUAUAUUUAAAAGACNNNNNNNNNNNNNNNNNNNNAAUAUUUAAUUAAAUUAAAAUUUUUUAUAAGAUUUAAAAUUUUAAUUUAAUUAAAUAUUUUGUUGGGGUGAUAAAAAAAUUAAAAAAACUUUUUUUAUAAAUUUACAUAAAUAAAUGAAUAAAUGAUCCGUAAUUUACGAUUAAAAGAAAAAAUUACCUUAGGGAUAACAGCGUAAUUUUUUUUUUUAGUUCAAAUAAGAAAAAAAGUUUGCGACCUCGAUGUUGGAUUAAGAUAAAAUUUAAAUGCAAAAGUUUAAAAUUUUUGAUCUGUUCGAUCAUUAAAAUCUUACA
Molecule: ribosomal RNA, 512 nt
Filed under: Parnassius inopinatus
Lineage: Eukaryota; Metazoa; Arthropoda; Insecta; Lepidoptera; Papilionidae
Description: partial 16S ribosomal RNA
Rfam family: Archaeal large subunit ribosomal RNA (bases 385-512)
Source: RNAcentral